AGGGCACCACCAGGAGUGGAGCCUGCGGCUUAAUUUGACUCAACACGGGAAAACUCACCCGGCCCGGACACUGGAAGGAUUGACAGAUUGAGAGCUCUUUCUUGAUUCAGUGGGUGGUGGUGCAUGGCCGUUCUUAGUUGGUGGAGCGAUUUGUCUGGUUAAUUCCGAUAACGAACGAGACUCUAGCCUAUUAAAUAGGCUCCCGGCUUUUAAACGCCGGGAGGACUUCUUAGAGGGACAGGUGGCGGUUCAGCCGCACGAAAGAGAGCAAUAACAGGUCUGUGAUGCCCUUUGUCGUCCGGGGCCGCACGCGCGCUACACUGAAGAGAUCAGCGUGCUUUACGUUCCUGCUCCGACCGGAGUGGGGAACCCAGUGAACCUUCUUCGUGAUUGGGAUAGAAGAUUGUAAUUAUUCUUCUUGAACGAGGAAUUCCCAGUAAAUGCGAGUCAUAAGCUCGCGUUGAUUACGUCCCUGCCCUUUGUACACACCGCCCGUCGCUACUACCGAUUGAACGAUUU
This 519-nucleotide ribosomal RNA is filed under the name uncultured eukaryote. RNAcentral's name for it is "SSU rRNA". It matches the Rfam family "Eukaryotic small subunit ribosomal RNA", at positions 1161 to 1699 of the family's 1831-position model. The record is from RNAcentral.